RNAcentral lists this ribosomal RNA (443 nucleotides) under uncultured bacterium. Its description in RNAcentral is "SSU rRNA". It matches the Rfam family "Bacterial small subunit ribosomal RNA", at positions 26 to 518 of the family's 1533-position model. The record is from RNAcentral.
AGAACGAACGCUGGCGGCAGGCUUAACACAUGCAAGUCGAGCGCCGUAGCAAUACGGAGCGGCAGACGGGUGAGUAACGCGUGGGAACAUACCCUUCGGUUCGGAAUAAUUCAGGGAAACUUGGACUAAUACCGAAUACGGACGAGAGUCGAAAGAUUUAUCGCCGAAGGAUUGGCCCGCGUUCGAUUAGCUAGUUGGUGUGGUAACGGCGCACCAAGGCGACGAUCGAUAGCUGGUCUGAGAGGAUGAUCAGCCACAUUGGGACUGAGACACGGCCCAAACUCCUACGGGAGGCAGCAGUGGGGAAUAUUGGACAAUGGGCGCAAGCCUGAUCCAGCCAUGCCGCGUGAGUGAUGACGGCCUUAGGGUUGUAAGCUCUUUCGCUAGGGACGAUAAUGACGGUACCUAGACAAGACGCCCGGCUAACUCGCGCCAGCAGCCGC